CUAACUCCGUGCCAGCAGCCGCGGUAAUACGGAGGGUGCGAGCGUUUAAUCGGAAUUACUGGGCGUAAAGCGCAUGCAGGUGGUUUGUUAAGUCAGAUGUGAAAGCCCGGGGCUCAACCUCGGAAUUGCAUUUGAAACUGGCAAACUAGAGUACUGUAGAGGGGGUAGAAUUUCAGGUGUAGCGGUGAAAUGCGUAGAGAUCUGAAGGAAUACCGGUGGCGAAGGCGGCCCCCUGGACAGAUACUGACACUCAGAUGCGAAAGCGUGGGGAGCAAACAGGAUUAGAUACCCUGGUAG
Molecule: ribosomal RNA, 297 nt
Filed under: uncultured bacterium
Lineage: Bacteria
Description: partial 16S ribosomal RNA
Rfam family: Bacterial small subunit ribosomal RNA
Source: RNAcentral